This 924-nucleotide ribosomal RNA is filed under the name uncultured bacterium. RNAcentral's name for it is "bacterial SSU rRNA". It matches the Rfam family "Bacterial small subunit ribosomal RNA", at positions 1 to 916 of the family's 1533-position model. RNAcentral also lists the same sequence under 1 other name. The record is from RNAcentral.
GGAUCCAGACUUUGAUUAUGGCUCAGGAUGAACGCUAGCUACAGGCUUAACACAUGCAAGUCGAGGGGAAACGACAUCGAAAGCUUGCUUUUGAUGGGCGUCGACCGGCGCACGGGUGAGUAACGCGUAUCCAACCUGCCCACCACUUGGGGAUAACCUUGCGAAAGUAAGACUAAUACCCAAUGACGUCUCUAGAAGACAUCUGAAGGAGAUUAAAGAUUUAUCGGUGAUGGAUGGGGAUGCGUCUGAUUAGCUUGUUGGCGGGGUAACGGCCCACCAAGGCGACGAUCAGUAGGGGUUCUGAGAGGAAGGUCCCCCACAUUGGAACUGAGACACGGUCCAAACUCCUACGGGAGGCAGCAGUGAGGAAUAUUGGUCGAUGGGCGAGAGCCUGAACCAGCCAAGUAGCGUGCAGGAUGACGGCCCUAUGGGUUGUAAACUGCUUUUAUAAGGGAAUAAAGUGAGUCUCGUGAGACUUUUUGCAUGUACCUUAUGAAUAAGGACCGGCUAAUUCCGUGCCAGCAGCCGCGGUAAUACGGAAGGUCCGGGCGUUAUCCGGAUUUAUUGGGUUUAAAGGGAGCGUAGGCCGGAGAUUAAGCGUGUUGUGAAAUGUAGACGCUCGACGUCUGCACUGCAGCGCGAACUGGUUUCCUUGAGUACGCACAAAGUGGGCGGAAUUCGUGGUGUAGCGGUGAAAUGCUUAGAUAUCACGAAGAACUCCGAUUGCGAAGGCAGCUCACUGGAGCGCAACUGACGCAGAAGCUCGAAAGUGCGGGUAUCGAACAGGAUUAGAUACCCUGGUAGUCCGCACGGUAAACGAUGGAUGCCCGCUGUUGGUCCGAAUAGGUCAGCGGCCAAGCGAAAGCAUUAAGCAUCCCACCUGGGGAGUACGCCGGCAACGGUGCAACUCAAAGGAAUUGACGG